CCUACGGGGGGCAGCAGUGAGGAAUCUUGCGCAAUGGGGGAAACCCUGACGCAGCAACGCCGCGUGAGUGAGGAAGGUCUUCGGGUCGUAAAGCUCUGUCAGGCGGGAAGAAAUGCAUGGAGGUGAACAGCCGCCAUGCUUGACGGUACCGCCAGAGGAAGCACCGGCUAACUCCGUGCCAGCAGCCGCGGUAAUACGGGGGGUGCAAGCGUUGUUCGGAAUCAUUGGGCGUAAAGAGCGUGUAGGCGGCUUGGUAAGUCAGAUGUGAAAGCCCUGGGCUCAACCCGGGAAGUGCAUUUGAAACUGUCAGGCUCGAGUAGGGGAGAGGGAAGUGGAAUUCCUGGUGUAGAGGUGAAAUUCGUAGAUAUCAGGAGGAACACCGGUGGCGAAGGCGACUUCCUGGCCCUAUACUGACGCUGAGACGCGAGAGCGUGGGUAGCAAACAGGCUUAGAUACCCUAGUAGUC
Molecule: ribosomal RNA, 466 nt
Filed under: uncultured Syntrophaceae bacterium
Lineage: Bacteria; Pseudomonadati; Thermodesulfobacteriota; Syntrophia; Syntrophales; Syntrophaceae
Description: bacterial SSU rRNA
Rfam family: Bacterial small subunit ribosomal RNA
Source: RNAcentral